GCCGGGCAUGGUGGCUCAUGCCUGUAAUCCCAGCACUUUGGGAGGCUGAGGCGGGUGGAUCACCUGAGGUCAGGAGUUGGAGACCAGCCUGGCCAACAUGGUGAAACCCCAUCUCUA
This 117-nucleotide non-coding RNA is filed under the name Gorilla gorilla gorilla (western lowland gorilla). The record is from Rfam by way of RNAcentral. Lineage: Eukaryota; Metazoa; Chordata; Mammalia; Primates; Hominidae.